UCGGCAGAGGCACGGCAUACAGCUCAGUAGCACGUGGCUAAUCUGCCCUUAGGACGAGAAUACCCCCGGGAAACUGGGGCUAAUUCGCGAUAGGCGAAGAACACUGGAAUGUGUCUUCACCUAAAAGACCCUACGUAAUGCUCGUAGAAGUCGCCUAAGGAUGAGGCCGCGGCCGAUCAGGUUGUUGGUGAGGUAAUGGCUCACCAAGCCUUUUACCGGUGCGGGCCGUGGGAGCGGGAGCCCGGAGAUGGGUACUGAGACAAGGACCCAGGCCCUACGGGGCGCAGCAGUCGCGAAACCUUUGCAAUACACGAAAGUGUGACAGGGCUAUCCCGAGUGCCAUCCGCUGAGGAAGGCUUUUACCCAGUCUAGAAAGCUGGGGGAAUAAGGAGAGGGCAAGUCUGGUGUCAGCCGCCGCGGUAAUACCAGCUCUUCGAGUGGUGUGGAUGUUUAUUGGGCCUAAAGCAUCCGUAGCUGGCUAGGUGAGUCCCUUGUUAAAUCCACCGAAUUAAUCGUUGGAUCGCGGGGGAUACUGCCUGGCUAGGGGACGAGAGAGGCAGACGGUAUUUUUGGGGUAGGGGUGAAAUCCUAUAAUCCCAGGAAGACCACCAGUGGCGAAGGCUGUCUGCUAGAACGCGCCCGACGGUGAGGGAUGAAAGCUGGGGGAGCGAACCGGAUUAGAUACCCGGGUAGUCCCAGCUGUAAACGAUGCAGGCUAGGUGUUUGGACGGCCACGUGCCGUUCUAGUGCCGCAGGGAAGCUGUUAAGCCUGCCGCCUGGGGAGUACGAUCGCAAGAUUGAAACUUAA
RNAcentral lists this ribosomal RNA (808 nucleotides) under uncultured crenarchaeote. RNAcentral's name for it is "bacterial SSU rRNA". It matches the Rfam family "Archaeal small subunit ribosomal RNA", at positions 67 to 859 of the family's 1478-position model. Lineage: Archaea; Thermoproteati; Thermoproteota. The record is from RNAcentral.